RNAcentral lists this ribosomal RNA (497 nucleotides) under uncultured bacterium. RNAcentral describes it as "partial 16S ribosomal RNA". It matches the Rfam family "Bacterial small subunit ribosomal RNA", at positions 28 to 507 of the family's 1533-position model. The record is from RNAcentral.
GAUGAACGCUGGCGGCGUGCCUAAUACAUGCAAGUCGAGCGAACGGACGAGAAGCUUGCUUCUCUGAUGUUAGCGGCGGACGGGUGAGUAACACGUGGAUAACCUACCUAUAAGACUGGUAUAACUUCGGGAAACCGGAGCUAAUACCGGAUGAUAUUUUGAACCGCAUGGUUCAAAAGUGAAAGACGGUCUUGCUGUCACUUAUAGAUGGAUCCGCGCUGCAUUAGCUAGUUGGUAAGGUAACGGCUUACCAAGGCAACGAUGCAUAGCCGACCUGGGAGGGUGAUCGGCCACACUGGAACGGAGACGCGGUCCAGACGCCUACGGGAGGCAGCAGUAGGGAAUCUUCCGCAAUGGGCGAGAACCUGACGGAGCAACGCCGCGUGAGUGAUGAAGAUCUUCGGAUCGUAAAACUCUGUUAUUAGGGAAGAACAUAUGUGUAAGUAACUGUGCACAUCUUGACGGUACCUAAUCAGAAAGCCACGGCUAACUACGUG